Molecule: non-coding RNA, 959 nt
Filed under: Elopichthys bambusa (yellowcheek carp)
Lineage: Eukaryota; Metazoa; Chordata; Actinopteri; Cypriniformes; Xenocyprididae
Description: 12S rRNA
Rfam family: Bacterial small subunit ribosomal RNA
Source: RNAcentral
UAAAGGCAUGGUCCCGACCUUAUUAUCAGCUUUAACCUAACUUACACAUGCAAGUCUCCGCAACCCCGUGAGUACACCUUCCCCCCGCCCAGGGGAGAGGAGCGGGUAUCAGGCGCAAACCUUUAGCCCAAGACGCCCAGCCCAGGCCACACCCCCAAGGGAAUUCAGCAGUGAUAAACAUUAAGCCAUAAGUGAAAACUUGACUCAGUCAAGGUUAAGAGGGCCGGUAAAACUCGUGCCAGCCACCGCGGUUAGACGAGAGGCCCUAGUUGAUAACCCACGGCGUAAAGGGUGGUUUAGGAAUGUAAAUAAAUUUUAAAGCCAAAUGGCCCUUCGGCCGUUAUACGCUUCUAGGAGCCUGAAGCCCGAUUACACGAAAGUAGCUUUAUUAAAGCCCACCUGACCCCACGAAAGCUGAGAAACAAACUGGGAUUAGAUACCCCACUAUGCUCAGCCAUAAACCUAGACAUCAAACUACAACAGAUGUCCGCCCGGGUACUACGAGCAUCAGCUUGAAACCCAAAGGACUUGACGGUGCCUUAGACCCCCCUAGAGGAGCCUGUUCUAUAACCGAUAACCCCCGUUAAACCUCACCACUUCUAGUAACCUCAGUCUAUAUACCACCGUCGUCAGCUUACCCUGUGAAGGUAAAAUAGUAAGCACAAUGGGCACAGCCCAAAACGUCAGGUCGAGGUGUAGCGCACGAAGUGGGAAGAAAUGGGCUACAUUUUCUAUUACAGAACACUACGGAUAUGUCACAUGAAAUAGUGCUUGAAGGAGGAUUUAGUAGUAAAAAGGAAGCAGAGUGUCCUUUUGAACCCGGCUCUGAGGCGCGUACACACCGCCCGUCACCCUCUCCUGUCACACUGCGACAAAGAUAUACCUAAUACCCCAAGCACCGACAAGGAGAGGCAAGUCGUAACAUGGUAAGUGUACCGGAAGGUGCACUUGGACAAACC